AAGAAGCUUGCUUCUUUGCUGACGAGUGGCGGACGGGUGAGUAAUGUCUGGGAAACUGCCUGAUGGAGGGGGAUAACUACUGGAAACGGUAGCUAAUACCGCAUAACGUCGCAAGACCAAAGAGGGGGACCUUCGGGCCUCUUGCCAUCGGAUGUGCCCAGAUGGGAUUAGCUUGUUGGUGGGGUAACGGCUCACCAAGGCGACGAUCCCUAGCUGGUCUGAGAGGAUGACCAGCCACACUGGAACUGAGACACGGUCCAGACUCCUACGGGAGGCAGCAGUGGGGAAUAUUGCACAAUGGGCGCAAGCCUGAUGCAGCCAUGCCGCGUGUAUGAAGAAGGCCUUCGGGUUGUAAAGUACUUUCAGCGGGGAGGAAGGGAGUAAAGUUAAUACCUUUGCUCAUUGACGUUACCCGCAGAAGAAGCACCGGCUAACUCCGUGCCAGCAGCCGCGGUAAUACGGAGGGUGCAAGCGUUAAUCGGAAUUACUGGGCGUAAAGCGCACGCAGGCGGUUUGUUAAGUCAGAUGUGAAAUCCCCGGGCUCAACCUGGGAACUGCAUCUGAUACUGGCAAGCUUGAGUCUCGUAGAGGGGGGUAGAAUUCCAGGUGUAGCGGUGAAAUGCGUAGAGAUCUGGAGGAAUACCGGUGGCGAAGGCGGCCCCCUGGACGAAGACUGACGCUCA
RNAcentral lists this ribosomal RNA (683 nucleotides) under Escherichia coli. RNAcentral describes it as "bacterial SSU rRNA". It matches the Rfam family "Bacterial small subunit ribosomal RNA", at positions 73 to 749 of the family's 1533-position model. The record is from RNAcentral. Lineage: Bacteria; Pseudomonadati; Pseudomonadota; Gammaproteobacteria; Enterobacterales; Enterobacteriaceae.